UACGAAGGGGGCUAGCGUUGCUCGGAAUUACUGGGCGUAAAGGGCGCGUAGGCGGACAGUUUAGUCAGAGGUGAAAGCCCAGGGCUCAACCUUGGAAUUGCCUUUGAUACUGGCUGCCUUGAGUUCGGGAGAGGUGAGUGGAAUGCCGAGUGUAGAGGUGAAAUUCGUAGAUAUCAGGAGGAACACCAAUGGCGAAGGCAGCACUCUGGGACGUGACUGACGCUGAGGCGCGAAAGCGUGGGGAGCAAACAGG
Molecule: ribosomal RNA, 253 nt
Filed under: uncultured bacterium
Lineage: Bacteria
Description: partial 16S ribosomal RNA
Rfam family: Bacterial small subunit ribosomal RNA
Source: RNAcentral